RNAcentral lists this ribosomal RNA (644 nucleotides) under uncultured bacterium. RNAcentral's name for it is "bacterial SSU rRNA". It matches the Rfam family "Bacterial small subunit ribosomal RNA", at positions 202 to 834 of the family's 1533-position model. The record is from RNAcentral.
AAAAGAUGGUUCUGCUAUCACUCUUGGAUGGACCUGCGGUGCAUUAGCUAGUUGGUAAGGUAACGGCUUACCAAGGCAAUGAUGCAUAGCCGAGUUGAGAGACUGAUCGGCCACAUUGGGACUGAGACACGGCCCAAACUCCUACGGGAGGCAGCAGUAGGGAAUCUUCCACAAUGGACGCAAGUCUGAUGGAGCAACGCCGCGUGAGUGAAGAAGGGUUUCGGCUCGUAAAGCUCUGUUGGUAGUGAAGAAAGAUAGAGGUAGUAACUGGCCUUUAUUUGACGGUAAUUACCUAGAAAGUCACGGCUAACUACGUGCCAGCAGCCGCGGUAAUACGUAGGUGGCAAGCGUUGUCCGGAUUUAUUGGGCGUAAAGCGAGUGCAGGCGGUUCAAUAAGUCUGAUGUGAAAGCCUUCGGCUCAACCGGAGAAUUGCAUCAGAAACUGUUGAACUUGAGUGCAGAAGAGGAGAGUGGAACUCCAUGUGUAGCGGUGGAAUGCGUAGAUAUAUGGAAGAACACCAGUGGCGAAGGCGGCUCUCUGGUCUGCAACUGACGCUGAGGCUCGAAAGCAUGGGUAGCGAACAGGAUUAGAUAUCCUGGUAGUCCAUGCCGUAAACGAUGAGUGCUAAGUGUUGGGAGGUUUC